UCAGACUAUGUGUGCCCCAACACCUUGGG
This 29-nucleotide non-coding RNA is filed under the name Rattus norvegicus (Norway rat). Lineage: Eukaryota; Metazoa; Chordata; Mammalia; Rodentia; Muridae. The record is from RNAcentral.